This 305-nucleotide ribosomal RNA is filed under the name uncultured bacterium. RNAcentral's name for it is "bacterial SSU rRNA". It matches the Rfam family "Bacterial small subunit ribosomal RNA", at positions 333 to 635 of the family's 1533-position model. The record is from RNAcentral.
AUGCCCCUACGGGAGGCAGCAGUGAGGAAUAUUGGUCAAUGGUCGGGAGACUGAACCAGCCACGCCGCGUGAGGGAUGAAGGUACAGAGUAUCGUAAACCUCUUUUGUCAGGGAACAAAGGCGGGGACGUGUCCCCGGAUGAGUGUACCUGAAGAAAAAGCAUCGGCUAACUCCGUGCCAGCAGCCGCGGUAAUACGGAGGAUGCGAGCGUUAUCCGGAUUUAUUGGGUUUAAAGGGUGCGCAGGCGGUCUGGUAAGUCAGCGGUCAAAGCCCGGGGCUCAACACCGGGUCGGCGGUGAAAAUGG